UGAAGAUGAUCUGUCCUGUUAGGUCCUGUU
This 30-nucleotide non-coding RNA is filed under the name Mus musculus (house mouse). The record is from RNAcentral. Lineage: Eukaryota; Metazoa; Chordata; Mammalia; Rodentia; Muridae.